This 359-nucleotide long non-coding RNA is filed under the name Capsicum annuum. Its description in RNAcentral is "long non-coding RNA (CANN_LNC007205)". The record is from RNAcentral. Lineage: Eukaryota; Viridiplantae; Streptophyta; Magnoliopsida; Solanales; Solanaceae.
GGCGGGAUCGGUAUUGGUGUUUGCCUUAGCAUUGGUAUUGGUGUUGGGGAUUACACCCUUCGAUGAUAUUGUUGGUUGAUCCAUUGUACUAUAUUUUAGGAUUGAUUAUCAUAUUAUGUUUUGGUAUUCUCUUUGGUUAUGAUCUAGUUUAUGGCCUCUGGUUUGGAUUGUGUGGUUGGAUGGUUGGUUUGGUAAGGUUGGACCCGAUUGGGUCGGUCACGUUUGUGACCCUAUCCCCGAGUAUUCAUGAGAGCAUUUAUGCUAUCUUUUUAUAUACUCAAAAUUCAGCCUAUCAAAGGUUGUAUAUGGAAUCUGAUAAGUGAGAUCUCGAGGUAAAAAGGGGUGCUCCCCAGUCCUGG